This 467-nucleotide ribosomal RNA is filed under the name uncultured bacterium. RNAcentral's name for it is "bacterial SSU rRNA". It matches the Rfam family "Bacterial small subunit ribosomal RNA", at positions 29 to 506 of the family's 1533-position model. The record is from RNAcentral.
AUGAACGCUGGCGGCGUGUCUUAGGCAUGCAAGUCGAACGGUCCGAUGGAUCCCGCAAGGGGCUCAUCGGACAGUGGCAAACGGGUGCGUAACACCCUGGUAACCUACCCCGAGGUUCGGAAUAACUCCGCGAAAGCGGAGCUAAUACCGGAUGUGAUCCUCCGACGAUGGUCGGAUGAGGAAAGCCGAAAGGCGCCACGGGAGGGGCCUAGGUUCCAUCAGCUUGUUGGUGAGGUAAUGGCUCACCAAGGCUUCGACGGAUAGGGGGCGUGAGAGCGCGACCCCCCUCACUGGGACUGCGACACUGCCCAGACUCCUACGGGAGGCUGCAGUCGAGAAUCUUCCCCAAUGGACGAAAGUCUGAGGGAGCGACGCCGCGUGCAGGAAGAAGCCCUUCGGGGUGUAAACUGCUUUUCUAUGGGACGAAUUUUGACGGUACCGUAGGAAUAAGGGGCUGCUAACUCUGU